GACGAACGCUGGCGGCGUGCCUAAUACAUGCAAGUCGAGCGAGCGGAACCAACAGGUUUACUUCGGUAAUGACGCUGGGAAAGCGAGCGGCGGAUGGGUGAGUAACACGUGGGGAACCUGCCCCCUAAGUCUGGGAUACCAUUUGGAAGCAGGUGCUAAUACCGGAUAAUAAAGCAGAUCGCAUGAUCAGCUUUUGAAAGGCGGCGUAAGCUGUCGCUAAGGGAUGGCCCCGCGGUGCAUCAGCUAGUUGGUAAGGUAACGGCUUACCAAGGCGACGAUGCAUAGCCGAGUUGAGAGACUGAUCGGCCACAUUGGGACUGAGACACGGCCCAA
RNAcentral lists this ribosomal RNA (333 nucleotides) under uncultured bacterium. Its description in RNAcentral is "bacterial SSU rRNA". It matches the Rfam family "Bacterial small subunit ribosomal RNA", at positions 28 to 334 of the family's 1533-position model. The record is from RNAcentral.